GAUGAACGCUGGCGGCGUGCCUAAUACAUGCAAGUCGAGCGAAGCGGGGACGGGGGAGAACACGUGGAUAACAUCCUAUAAGACUGGGAUAACAUCGGGAAAACGGAGCUAAAUCGGACACUUAUAGAUGGAUAGGCGCUGCAUUAGCUAGUGGGUAAGGUAACGGCUUACCAAGGCAACGAUGCAUAGCCGACCUGAGAGGGUGAUCGGCCACACUGGAACUGAGACACGGUCCAGACUCCUACGGGAGGCAGCAGUAGGGAAUCUUCCGCAAUGGGCGAAAGCCUGACGGAGCAACGCCGCGUGAGUGAUGAAGGUCUUCGGAUCGUAAAGCUCUGUUAUUAGGGAUGCGUUACCUAAACAGAAAGCCCCGGCUAACUACGUGCCAGCCGCCGCGGUAAUUC
This 404-nucleotide ribosomal RNA is filed under the name uncultured bacterium. RNAcentral describes it as "partial 16S ribosomal RNA". It matches the Rfam family "Bacterial small subunit ribosomal RNA", at positions 28 to 526 of the family's 1533-position model. The record is from RNAcentral.